AACGAACGUUGGCGGCACGCUUAACACAUGCAAGUCGAACGAGAAACCCGAGCUUGCUCGGGUGGACAGUGGCAGACGGCUUAGUAACGCGUGGGUAUCUACCUAGAGGUUUGGAACAACUAUUGGAAACGAUAGCUAAUACCAAAUAUUCCCUACGGGGGAAAGAUUUAUCGCCUUUAGAUGAGCCCGCGUCGGAUUAGCUUGUUGGUAGGGUAAAGGCCUACCAAGGCUACGAUCCGUAGCUGGUCUGAGAGGAUGAUCAGCAAGAUUGGGACUGAGACACGGCCCAGACUCCUACGGGAGGCAGCAGUGGGGAAUAUUGCGCAAUGGGGGAAACCCUGACGCAGCGAUGCCGCGUGAGUGAAGAAGGCCCUAGGGUUGUAAAACUCUUUCACCGGUGAAGAUAAUGACGGUAGCCGGAGAAGAAGCCCCGGCUAACUCCGUG
RNAcentral lists this ribosomal RNA (445 nucleotides) under uncultured bacterium. RNAcentral's name for it is "bacterial SSU rRNA". It matches the Rfam family "Bacterial small subunit ribosomal RNA", at positions 29 to 507 of the family's 1533-position model. The record is from RNAcentral.